RNAcentral lists this ribosomal RNA (406 nucleotides) under uncultured bacterium. Its description in RNAcentral is "partial 16S ribosomal RNA". It matches the Rfam family "Bacterial small subunit ribosomal RNA", at positions 30 to 526 of the family's 1533-position model. The record is from RNAcentral.
AUUGAACGCUGGCGGCAGGCCUAACACAUGCAAGUCGAGCGAGCGGCGGACGGUUGCGUAAUGUAUGGUGAUCUGCCCGAUAGAGGGGGAUCACUACUGGAAACGGUAGCUAAUCCCGCAUACUAUCGGAUGAACCCAUAGGGGAUUAGCUAGUAGGUGAGGUAAUGUCUCACCUAGGCGACUAUCCCUAGCUGGCCUGAGAGGAUGAUCAGCCACACUGGGACUGAGACACGGCCCAGACUCCUACGGGAGGCAGCAGUGGGGAAUAUUGCACAAUGGGCGCAAGCCUGAUGCAGCCAUGCCGCGUGUAUGAUGAAGGCCUUCGGGUUGUAAAGUACUGUUGGCAGAGAAGCGGUAUCUGCAGAAUAAGCACCGGCUAACUACGUGCCAGCAACCGCGGUAAUUC